UAAUACGGAGGAUGCAAGCGUUAUCCGGAUUUAUUGGGUUUAAAGGGUGCGUAGGCGGAUGAGUAAGUCAGUGGUGAAAGCCUGCAGCUUAACUGUAGAAUUGCCAUUGAUACUGCUUGUCUUGAGUACAUUUGAGGUGGGCGGAAUAUGACAUGUAGCGGUGAAAUGCUUAGAUAUGUCAUAGAACACCGAUUGCGAAGGCAGCUCACUAAACUGUUACUGACGCUGAGGCACGAAAGCGUGGGGAGCAAACAGGAUUAGAUACCCUGGUAGUCCACGCCCUAAACGAUGAUCACUCGAUGUUGGCGAUACACUGUCAGCGUCUAAGGGAAACCAUUAAGUGAUCCACCUGGGGAGUACGGUCGCAAGACUG
RNAcentral lists this ribosomal RNA (373 nucleotides) under uncultured bacterium. RNAcentral describes it as "bacterial SSU rRNA". It matches the Rfam family "Bacterial small subunit ribosomal RNA", at positions 521 to 896 of the family's 1533-position model. The record is from RNAcentral.